CUAAGAUCUUCUCAGAAGGAAACUUCAAGAUAUAUGUCCCUACAGCUUCUGCUUGGAUAGAAUCUCCUCCAGCACCAUAGAGCUCGAAGUCUCCCUUCCUCAAACUUCUAAUUUUCUGCAGUCGCUGCAAUGAUUUGUAGAUAUGAAAACCACAGGCAAUAUCCAAUACCCAAGAGUUUGAAAUGGAAGAAUUCAAUGAUAAUAUUGUAU
Molecule: long non-coding RNA, 210 nt
Filed under: Elaeis guineensis (African oil palm)
Lineage: Eukaryota; Viridiplantae; Streptophyta; Magnoliopsida; Arecales; Arecaceae
Description: long non-coding RNA (EGUI_LNC078309)
Source: RNAcentral